Long non-coding RNA from Cuculus canorus (common cuckoo), 1939 nucleotides. RefSeq lists it as uncharacterized. Lineage: Eukaryota; Metazoa; Chordata; Aves; Cuculiformes; Cuculidae. The record is from RefSeq and is a predicted model, not a curated record. The transcript is spliced from 3 exons.
GCAUAAACUCUGGUGCAGCAAGGAUGUGUUAGAUGGCUUCCUUACAAAACUACAUACUCAGUUGCACAGGUGUUACUGAACCCAGAAGAUGAACAGGUCCCCAGGCACCAGCGCUGCUGUCCUUAUAAGUGUUUUCUCCUGGUGUAUUUUUGAGAGAGGAAUUGCAGGGGUAGCACAACCACUUGCUUCAAACAAAAUGUUCUCCCUGGUGUCCUGGAUAUUUUCUGACAGUACAUUGAGCUGUCAAUCAGCAAAUGACCUGAAGAGAAAAGAGGAGACAAAGAAGCUGAAGAAAAUUCUGGUACUUGAGUGAAAAUAGCUACGUUUAUCCAACGGAAUCCUAAUAAUACUUCACAUCCUAAUAAAGAUAACUGUGAAAUAUAUUUAAUGGUAAACUGAAUUAGCAAUAUAUACUUCUUUUGGGUCUGGUAAAACUGAUGCGUAUUCCCAUGAAACAGAAUCUCCCUUUCAAGGUGCCAGUACAGGUGCACCCAUACACCCUAUCUGUCAUACAGCUGUAGUGUCUCCCUAGCCUUUAUGGCUGCUGCGGUACUGCCUGAGGAGCAGCCAGUGUGCGUAUGCUGUGAACGUCUGCAAACAGGUCUGGGCAGUGAACCCAGCAUUGCCUUUACCUGAAGAUGUUGCGGAUCGGAGAGGCACCAAAAGGGAUGCGCAGAAGGGUAACAGCAAUGAGAAUAUUUGUUUGUGUUGACUAGCUGGUGGGUACUGAGGACUGCUGUUGACAAAAUUAGCUGACAGCUGCAAUGUGCUGGUGGAUAUUGGAGCUUUGGCAAAAAGGAAGAAGGAUACAAGGAAAUUAUGAGAGUCAGCAUGGAUGUGCAUCUUUCUGACAGAGAAGAGAUUUUUAGAGGUAUUGUACCUGGACUACAUUUCCAAGCACCAGCCUGAAGAUUCUCUUCAUCUCUGAGCUGUCCAAGGACUUCUCCAGCACUGAUUUUGGCCAGUGAUUAAGGCAAGUGUGGGGUAUCAAAAAGUCACUGAAUAAGUUGUUGGUUGUUGGUCUUUGCUCAAGUAGCAGUCAAGGUGUCCUACUGCUAAUAUGAAGAGUCAUCCUACAUCUUUCAUGUGCUAUUGGGAACUACAAUGAAACAACUGUAUUUCUACGAAGCUGAUCACAGACCAUUGCAGAUCACGUCUUGUGAUGGACAUGGCAUUUCCUGAGCAUCCACAGGAUCCAAAGAACCUCUACAUCUCACACACAAGUCCUGUAUUGAAAGAACUUACCUUCUGUGAUUUAAAUCAGGAGGAUGCCCUAUUGGAAGGCUCUCUAGAAAAAACUUUCAAGUCAUAUUGAAGAUCUGAUCAGUAAAAAGAAAUGUAGCUUCAGUCUCCAGGUCUGUCAGUAAGGUACACCAGUGAGAAUUCAUUUUUCUCUUCUCAAAGUGUCAUAUAAAAUGUUUCUCACCCAUAUGAAAUACAUAAUGCAUAACUCACUAUUGUUUGUAGGUAUGUCAGUAAUGCUUUAUAUUUCCAAAACUGAAAUAAAUCUUGUUUUUCUGAAAAUGUAUACUGUUGUCAGUAAUUAUAUAUUAGUAUGGCAGGAUGCCUCUGAAGGCUUUGGGCUGUGGAAAAUCUGAUUUCUGUGUUAAAAUUGAAGCAAGUGACGUGAAAGUGCACAUGUUAUUACACCAGCAUGGAAAUAGGGAAGGAAAAUAUUAGCUCAUAUUUUGAGUUUUGUAGAGCAGUCUGCCAGUGGUUUCCUUCUCUUUUCUUCCAUUCCUGACUUAUCUGUAGGUACAAAGUUAAUUACUGUCUUUAUAUGGACAAACCUCAGAUCAAUUUCUGUUCCAUACCCAUCUGCUUGUGUCCAAAUGAGAUCUCAGCCUGUCUAUCUGGCAUUUCCUCUCGAUGUGUCAUCCCCAGCUCCAGUUCAAGAAAGCUAGAACUCAGCUGUUCAUCCUUCGUCACAACUCAGCUG